GCUCCUUCACCAAAAAUAAAUUAUUAAUUCAACAUCGAGGUCGCAAACCUAAUUACUAAUAAGAACUUAUAAAUUAAAUAACGCUGUUAUCCCUAGAGUAACUUAAUAUUUUCCUAUUUAAUAACAAUGUAUAUUAUUAUCUAUUUAUAACUAAAUUCAUUUUUAUUAUAGAUUUAUACUCUUAUAACUAAUUAUAUAUUAUUAUAUUAAAUAUAAAAAUUUUUAUCUUCAUUAAUUACCCCAAUUCAAAAAUCUUUAAUUUAAAAGCUUCUAGGGUCUUCUCGUCCCAAGGAAAUAUAAAAGCAUUUUUACUUUUAAUUUAAAUUCAAACUUACUAAUUAAAACUUACUUCUCAGUAAUCACCCUUCAUUCCAGUAUCCA
This 381-nucleotide ribosomal RNA is filed under the name Promitobates lager. Its description in RNAcentral is "partial large subunit ribosomal RNA". Lineage: Eukaryota; Metazoa; Arthropoda; Arachnida; Opiliones; Gonyleptidae. The record is from RNAcentral.